Polyodon spathula (Mississippi paddlefish) is the source of this 2338-nucleotide long non-coding RNA. RefSeq lists it as uncharacterized. The record is from RefSeq and is a predicted model, not a curated record. Lineage: Eukaryota; Metazoa; Chordata; Actinopteri; Acipenseriformes; Polyodontidae. The transcript has 3 exons.
GUGGGACCAGGAGGGGGUCCUAAUGCCUGUUGCACAGGCAGUGAGACUUAUUCUGUAGCCUUCUUGUUAGACUAACUUCGUAAAUCAUUUUCUGUUUUAGUCAUAACAGAAAUAUGAAAGCGCCCCUGUGUUCUGAAUGGAGCUCCCGAUCAGCACGCAUUGCCUCUGCAUGGCAUUCCUUACUGGUAUAAAUGAGGUUGCAGGGUGGGGGUACCUCUCUGGUGUGCCAGCUGAAAGAAGACAGGUUUCAAAACAGAAAAUAAUAUUCAGUUGAUUGAAUCUAAACACAAAGUACGACGCGCCGGUUCGUGACCUGCGCGCAAGUUGAUUUUGAAAGCUGACGUUUGCAUUUUGAAAGUUGAAAGCAGAUCCCAUUAAAGGCUCGUGUGUCUCUGUGGGUCAGAUUGAAUGUUUUAUCUCCCAAAGCAGGUGUAAUAGUUUGUACUUUGUUACCUCACAGAACAGUACCGAAGCUGUCCGUGAUAAUUACACUAAUCGUCUUCCAUCUCUGAAUAUCGUGGCUCCGGGGCGCUUAAACUGGAUCAGCCCCGUACCAUAAUGAGAUUUCAUGGAUCUAACUAUAGAUUCAGUGUGUGGGCAUACUUGCGAACACACACAGCUUCAAUGCAGGGUUUCAGCAUGUUAUAGCCGCGUAUAAGAGUUAGCUUUGCUUGUUUAGUACACGGAUGGCUUUCUCUGGGUGCAGGAUUCCUGCAGAGGAACGGUUCGGUUGAGACGGCUGUGAGGAAACCCAGUCCCGUUAACCACCAUGGGAGGAUUACACGCAAAGAAGAAAACUACAGCAUCAGAACACCCCCCUCUCACCUGGACACUGACAGCUCCCAGAAUUUAAUUCAGCCCAGAAAAGUAAACAGCCCCGUCCUGGAAUCACAAAACCACCAGGACCUGCACAGAGAGCUUGUUCUGAGCUGCAGACGUACGAGCAGGAGCAGAUGAAACCGAAAGAAGACCAGGAGAAGGUGCCUGAGUUUGUGAAAGUGAAGGAGAAUCUCUGCCGGCUCAAACUGAAUGGGGAGUAGGGUAGGAGCUGCUUGAUCACCAGGAGGGAGAGGGAAAACACGGCCGGAGUCUCGAAUCACUCGAACCUGCCAAGGAGACACAGCCCCUUUCAAACAGAGAAAAUAAACUUCAGGGUUCCAGGGUUCUUCAUCAUGAGAUGAUGCCAUGUUUAUGAGUGUGUGCAUGUAUGUAGGUAUGCAUUCAUGCACAGUAAGGUGCAUAAUUCAGUUUAGGGCUUUUAGAUUCUGAUUGAUGGUGCUGUAUGAUGUUAAAUGGGAUUUAUCAUAUUAAGUUAAAUAAUGAUGCAAACUAUCUUAGGCAAAGAAAUGUGAGGUGGCUGUGUCACAUGAAUAUCACGGCUGCUAUGCAAAGUGUGAUUCGUGACACCAAGGAUGCACUCAAAUAUCUGCAAGCACUGUUCAGUAAAUUAUUCUUCAACGAUUGCAAUAAAAACAAAAAAAAAUCUAAUUCCACUUUUAACGUUAGAAGUUUGCAAAAUGUUUCGAUUUUAUUUUUAAACCUGUUUGCGUCUGUUUGCAACACCUGCGGGUGUCGAGCGGAAGUUUUCAAACUGCAAACCACCAGGCGGAUGUAGUCUAGAAAGAAAAAGAAAAAAAAAAAAAAAAAGAUACACAGCUCGCGCCUGAGAUGCGGUAAUUCCAUCCAAGGAAACCACAAGCAAAUCUGAUCUGCCUCAAAGAGAGCGCUUCCUCUGACCCGUUUCAUCUGAGAACCCCGUGAACACGCUCAAGAGAGUCCGAUCUUCAAACCGACUGAGUUAUUAGAACCCUCAAUACGGCCUCAAUAGCGCUCUCAGAGUCAUGUCUAACCUCCAGGUAAUUCGGUACAGCGGGGGUUAACUGUGGCCCGAUCGCACCAGACCAGCUGUGACGUCAGUUUAGGCUACCUGUGCAAACGUUAAAAAGGUCUUACUGUGCGUAUUGCGCAUGCCCAGGCUAUUUUCAACCUGCACCGCGCAUGUGUAGAUUCCCCCCCUUGAAAUCUGCUCUCUAUUUUUUUUUUUUGGAUGUGAAAGUACCCGUUGUGUUUACAUUUUACUCGACAUGUAUUAAUUCGUUUGAUAUUAAAUACAGACAGCUGAUGCUAACGGCCGGUAAAGCGUACUGUAACGCAGCUCUUGCAUUGAAAGAGCCUUUAGUCACUAUGCACCUGUAUUGUGGAACAAUCUCCCAACUGAAAUGCGUAAAGCUGACUCCAUACAUGCAUUAAAUCAAAGCUUAAAACUCAUCUUUACGCAGAGGCCGUUCUGUACAUUGGAAUAGGCCUCUUUUAGAUUUUUGUUCAUAUGUAUUUUAUU